RNAcentral lists this transfer RNA (97 nucleotides) under Cryptomonas sp. RNAcentral's name for it is "tRNA-Val". The record is from RNAcentral. Lineage: Eukaryota; Cryptophyceae; Cryptomonadales; Cryptomonadaceae.
ACCGGUAUAGCUCAGUUGGUCAGUUUAAGACUAUAGCGUCAGUUUAACAUGCUGGAUGUCACAAGUUCGAAUUUUUAUGAUGUGCUUGUUACCGGUA